This 1062-nucleotide long non-coding RNA is filed under the name Salmo salar (Atlantic salmon). RNAcentral describes it as "lncRNA (ENSSSAG00000102042.1)". The record is from RNAcentral. Lineage: Eukaryota; Metazoa; Chordata; Actinopteri; Salmoniformes; Salmonidae.
GUCUUUAUUAGGUCUUCAUAAGGUCAAUAUCACAUCUUUAUCAGGUAAUAUCAGGUCAAUAUCAUUUCAAUAUCAGUUGUUUUUUAUCAGGUCAAUAGCAGGUCAAUAUCACAUCUUUAUCACGUCAAAAUCAUGUCAAUAUCAGGUAAAUAUCAGGUUUUUAUCAGAUCAAUAUCAGGUCAACAUCAGGUCAAUAUCAGGUCUAUAUUAGGUCAAUAUCAGGUCAAUAUCAGGUCAAUAUCAUGUCAAAAUCAGGUCAUUAUCAUGUCGAUAUCAGGUCAAUAUCAUAUCAAUAUCAGUUUUUCUUCAGGUCAAUAGCAGGUCUUUAACAGGUCAAUAUCAGGACUUUAUUAGGUCUUUAUACAGUCAAUAUCAGGUAAAUAUCAUGUCAAUAUCAGGUCAAUAUCAGUUCUUUAUCAGAUAAAUAUCAGGUCAAUAUUAGGGCUUUAUCAGGUCAAAUUUCAUGUCAAUAUCAUAUCAAUAUCAUGUCAAUAUCAGGUCAAUAUCACUUAAAAUAUCACGUCUUUAUCACGUCAAUAUCAGGUCAAUAUCAAGUCUUUAUUAGGUCAAUAUCACAUCAAUAUCACAUCUUUAUUAGGUCAAUAUCAGGUCAUUAUCAGGACAAUAUCAGGUCUUUCAUAGGUCAAUAUCAUGUAAAUAUCAGGUCAAUAUCAGAUCAUUAUCAGGUCAACAUAAUUUCAAUAUCAGGUCAAUAUCACGUAAAUAUCACGUCAAUUUCAAGUCAAUAUCAUGUAUUUAUUAGAUCAAUAUCACGUCUUUAUCAGGUCAAUAUCAGAUCAAUAUCAGGUCAAUAUCAGGUCAAUAUCAGUUCAUUAUCAUGUCAAUAUCACGUCUUUAUAAGGUCAAUAUCAUGUCAAUAUCACGUCAAUAUCAUGUCAACAUCAGGUCAAUAUCAUGACAAUAUCAUGACAAUAUCAGUUCAAUAUCAGAUCAAUAUCAGGUCAAUAUCAAGUCAAUAUCAGUUCAAUAUAAUGAAAAUAUCAUGUCAAUAUCAUGACAAUAUCAUGACAAUAUCAUGUCAAUAUCAGAUCAAUAUCAAGU